RNAcentral lists this ribosomal RNA (459 nucleotides) under Deinopsis erosa. RNAcentral describes it as "partial 16S ribosomal RNA". The record is from RNAcentral. Lineage: Eukaryota; Metazoa; Arthropoda; Insecta; Coleoptera; Staphylinidae.
GUCUAACCUGCCCUAUGAUUAUUUAAAUGGCUGCAGUAUUUUGACUGUACAAAGGUAGCAUAAUAAUUAGUUUUUUAAUUGAAAGCUGGUAUGAAUGGUUGGACGAGAAAAUAGCUGUCUCUAUUUAAAUUUAAUAGAAUUUUAUUUUUAAGUUAAAAAGCUUAAAUAAUUUUAAAAGACGAGAAGACCCUAUARARUUUUAUAUUUUUUUUUUGUAAUAAAUUUAAUAAAUUAUUUUUUUAUAUUAUGAAAUAUUUUAUUGGGGUGAUAGUAAAAUUUAAUAAACUUUUAUUUAAAUUUAACAUUAAUUUAUGAUUAAUUGAUCCAUUAUAAUGAUUAUAAGAUUAAAUUACCUUAGGGAUAACAGCGUAAUUUUUUUGGAGAGUUCUAAUCGAUAAGAAAGUUUGCGACCUCGAUGUUGGAUUAAAUUUUAUUUUUGGUGUAGAAGCUAAAAAAUUA